Molecule: ribosomal RNA, 468 nt
Filed under: uncultured bacterium
Lineage: Bacteria
Description: partial 16S ribosomal RNA
Rfam family: Bacterial small subunit ribosomal RNA
Source: RNAcentral
GACGAACGCUGGCGGCGUGCUUAACACAUGCCAGUCGAACGGAAAGGCCCUGCUUUUGUGGGGUGCUCGAGUGGCGAACGGGUGAGUAACACGUGAGUAACCUGCCCUUGACUUUGGGAUAACUUCAGGAAACUGGGGCUAAUACCGGAUAGGAGCUCCUGCUGCAUGGUGGGGGUUGGAAAGUUUCGGCGGUUGGGGAUGGACUCGCGGCUUAUCAGCUUGUUGGUGGGGUAGUGGCUUAACAAUGCUUUGACGGGUAGCCGGCCUGAGAGGGUGACCGGCCACAUUGGGACUGAGGUACGGCCCAGACGGCAACGGGAGGCAGCGGUGGGGAAUAUUGCACAAUGGGCGGAAGCCUGAUGCAGCAAUGCCGGGUGGGGGAUGACGGCCUUCGGGUUGUAAACCGCUUUCGCCUGUGACGAAGCGUGAGUGACGGUAAUGGGUAAAGAAGCAACGGCUAACUACGUG